Molecule: long non-coding RNA, 1814 nt
Organism: Prunus dulcis (almond)
Lineage: Eukaryota; Viridiplantae; Streptophyta; Magnoliopsida; Rosales; Rosaceae
Exons: 2
Source: RefSeq, a predicted model, not a curated record
GAUAUACAUCAAUUUGAUUGCAGAAGGAAAAUCAUUCUGCUUCUCUCCAUUUCAAUUCUCUCCAAUUUCUCUCAAAUUUUAUAACACGUUAUCAGCACGAUUUUCUCUAAACAGAGCCUAAACGCUCUCCUUCUUUCUCUUUCUCAAAAAUGGCACCAGCAUCGGAUUCCUUCAACCAGACCUCCAACACAGUCUGUGUAAUGGAUGCAUCAGGCCACGUAGGCACCACCCUCACAGAGCGCCUGCUGCAGAGGGGUUACACAGUCCAUGCUGCCCUUCAGAGCCGUGAUGAAUCGCGGUUGGGACCCAUUUGACUACCAGAGCAUACUUGAUGCUCUCAAAGGCUGCUCUGGCUUGUUCUAUGCAUAAGAAACCUUCUUAUGCUUUUGAUGUUUCAGAGGUUUGAAGCACAGCCAGGCCUUGGUUUACCUCUUCAAUGGCGUUCACCAGGCUUACUUCGUCAAAAGCCAUUAAGCCCAGGACCCGCCGGCGGGAAGCUGGUCGAGCUCUUCGUCGGGGAGUCGAAGAAGGGCGAUAGGAAGAUGGAGGCCACGUCCUCGCCCAGAGCAUGUGAUCAGUGAAGGCUGGUCCAGCCCUCUCCGUGGGUUCAUGAGAGAUGCCUUAGCCAAGCACAAGCCAGACUGCUGCAGCCUUGGUCCAACAAAAGCGUUGGAGGAGAAAGAGCUCCUGGUAGUGUUUCAAAUACUGAGACAGUGUUCUCGAACUUGAUCCGAUGCAGAGGGGCACCACUUUGCUUGAUGGCACAAGCUGUCUUGUCUUCAAGCGGGCAUCGUGCCUUUAACAUGGAGAACAAGCAACAUGAGGCCAGAGUUGGUGGGCUUGCUUCAUCUGUAUGAAUGGAGCUCAACAUGCAGGGCUGCUCAAUCUCUUCCUCGGCUGUUUCCCAGCUGUCCAUGGUACCAGUCCUUGCAGAUUCUUUCAUGAAUCUCUUUCAAACAAGCAUGCUCUCACACGCUAAGUUCCAAAAUGUCCAUUCUUGCCGCAACUGGAUCACAACUUGGUUUGCUGAGCUAGAGGGAGAGAGCAUGUAGGCAACAUGGCUCGACUUUCGUGGCUGCUGCGAGUCUAACUUCCAAAAAGCAGCUCUUCUCAACCUCAGUUGACAGAGAAACGAGGCAUGGCUGGAACGUUUCGAAGAUGCUUGCUCUGUUGUACAACAGCAACGGUCACGUUAAUUGCUAUGGUGGAUUUUGAGUGCCCCUCCUCCAAACCCAACUACCAGGACUGGGAUUCUAAAGCUGAGAAGCUGUGUCUGUGGGGGAAAGGAAAACACCAGGCUGAUUGAUAGAUGUGGAUGGGUGGACCAACCAACUAAACAAGUGGCUUAGUAAGUGGAGCAGAAGACAAAAUUCCCCUAGUGCACAACAGACUGGCACGCAUGCAUUUAUCCAAAGAGCUAAGGGCCCAAGGUGGGGAAAGGUUUGUUUGCUUUGCUUGUCUCAUUAUUCCCACUAAUGAGCAUGAAUACAGUACGUAAUGGCUGAUACUUGAUUGCUUUGCUUCUCUUAUGGCAAAAUAUCUUGAUUGCUUGGAAAAAGGUUUGUUUGCUUUACUUGUCUCAUAUGUGGAAUAUUAUCUGGGGGACUAUUUGUCUAUUGGCUAUGAUCUUUCCACGAUCAACAUUUGGUAAAAGGGUGGCUCAAAAUGGUCAAAGAAGUGUAUGUGCAUGUAAGCUGACGAUUGGUUGGAAUGGUUUGUGCUUUGCUAAUGAUUAUCAUUUUCUGUAAAGAAAUUCUUAGCCAUUGAAAGACUCAUUUUGGUUAUGAUGAUGACCAAAUUUGAUGCAUGAUUAA